AAAAAAGGUUAUCGAACUUCAGCGCGCUAUUGUAUGAUUUGUAUCUGAAUCGCUCUGCGUAUAUAAAUGAGAUUUUUUCAUAUUCGGAAAGAUCAGGCUUUUAGCUGUUGAACGAUGUGUUCUUCAUGCCAAAUGGAAAAAAAUGAGCAAAUACGAAUCCGAUAAAAAUAAACCAUGCAUUGAAAAUUAACCCCCUAUACAGGGUGUCCCAAAAAAAAGUGACACUAUAGAAAUUAUCCUAUUGUUAUAAUUUGAAUGCCCUAGCACUAAGAUGAUCCCACAGGUGCAUAAACUUGUGCUUCUGGAAUUUAAAAUAAAAAAGCAAAGCGUUUAUUAGUGUAAUCGUUUUGCUUGACUCGGGCGUUAAAAUAUUUGGACAUAACGAAAACGUUUUAAAAUGCUUAAAUGUAAAUACAAGUUCAUUAAAUUCCCAGGGGCCGGUUGUAUAAAAAAGUGAUUAAAGUUAACUAUGAUUAAGUGCAAACGUCAUCCAAUAGGAAGCGCCUAUUUGAGAGUUAAUCACUAUUUAACUACAAAAUAGUGAUUAAAAAAGUGAUUAAGAGUUUUAUACAACCGGCCCCAGGAGUGUAAUCACGCGCGU
This is a non-coding RNA of Paramuricea clavata, 601 nucleotides long. The record is from the annotation of a GenBank genome assembly. Lineage: Eukaryota; Metazoa; Cnidaria; Anthozoa; Malacalcyonacea; Plexauridae.